GAUGAAACUUACUUUUCUAGAAAGUACGAUUAUAACUUGCUUUUUAGAAGAAUGACUUUUAAGCAGAAUCAAAAAUGCUAUUUAUCGGUGAAUACUGAAAUAGGUGAAGGCGGGGAAAUGCUGCCGGUCAAAAGCGCUAUCUCAUCGUCGACAGAAAUGUCUACAACCUCGACCUUGUGAGUGUUCAACUUUUCAUUCUGAAUUGCUCGUAAAGUCUCUAGUACUUCUUCCAUUGAAGGCCUCAUAUCUCUUUCCUGCUGCAAACACCGAAAUGCCAACUCUGCAACAAGUGUAAUCAUCCUUCUCGUAGUACAAUCCCUCUCAAAUCCGAGACUCUGAUCAACCAAAUCAUGCAACGUACGAUUUUGAAUUUUGUUGAUAGCCAUGUUGGAUAAGUUGAUAUCGUGACGGUGUCUGUUGGUAUCCACAGCUUGUAAUGAAGACAUGAGUUCAAUCAAAACCACCCCAAAACUAUAAACGUCACUCUUUUCUGUGAGUUUGUAGCAUUGGUAGUAUUCGGGGUCAACAUAGCCAGGAGUCCCUUGUGGAGCAGUCGACACGUGUGUCACGUCAUUCGGGAAUAUUCUGGACAACCCAAAAUCAGCAACUUUUACAUGGAAAUCAUUGUCCAGGAGAAUGUUGUUGGUUUUUACAUCACGAUGCACGAUGUCCGAUUUAUGGAGAUAAGUUAGUGCAUCCGCUGUUUCAAUGGCAAUAUUCAACCGAAUUGGCCAAGAUAGCAAGCCAGACUUCGCCCUUUUUCCGUGCAAAUGAUCAGCCACUGUUCCAUUCGGUAUAUACUCGUAGACUAGCACUAGGUCUCGGCUACUUUUUGAUGUGCAUCCAUACAGUGUCACAAGGUAUAUAGGUUCUUUGAAGUUAUUUAUCUAUUAUUUUAUAGUACAAGAUGUUAGUGGCGGACUCAGACAUUUUGUGGGAUCAAAAAUUAAAAUGCAGUCAAUACAGUACUAUAAUUAUAGCCUACGGAUUUUAUACUUUGAAAAAGUCGUCUAAUUACAACAUUAUCAAUAAUAUAUGUAUUAGGAAUCACUUCUACCAUUGCACUCGAACUCUAAGAGGAUCCUUUUGAUAAGAUAACUAGCUUAGUGAGCUCUUAUUUUCAUAAAAUAAAUAAGUUAUUUACAUAAAAAAAAAGUAAAUAAACAUGCUUUAAAGUGGAAAUCUAAAAAUAUGUGCUCCAUGUUGUUAAUAGGAGGUCCAAAAGCAUAUCCUCGAGUAGUGGUGCACUUGUCAAAAAGUAUUAUCAAAGCAUGAAAAUAAAGACCAAAUUAAAAAUUGGUUGUCCCUUUCAUGAUUUUGUGCCACUUUUUAGAAAUCUGUCACCAUCUUAAUUAGUAAAUACAAAUUUCAUUUUCAACAUAAUUAAUUAUGUGUUAGAAGAAUUAGUUUCUUGCCUUGCAGGUCAAACAAACAACCGUCUCUCAUUUAUUGACAGAAUUGGCAUCUUUAUACUAUAAUUCAAACAAGAUUAAUGAUCUUCUAUGACAAGGCUCUGUCAAAAAAUUCCUUAAAAACUAACAAGUUGCUUCUAAAUUUAUUUCAAUAAUUUUCUUACUGUAUUUUAUUUCAUUAAAAGAAUUUUUAAAGAAAGUUAAAUGAAAAGAACAAACUUGAAAUCUAAUCGUUCUAAAAGUAAGUAUUUUAUUAAAAGUAACGAGAUUGAGUAAUGCUUUUUACAAUCAUUUACAAUCGCUUUACGUGAUAUGUAUAUGAUGAUCAUGUAUGUCACGUAGAACGACUGCAGUAGUGAACAACUGCUUAUAUCAUUAUUCUUAUUAAUAUGCUCAAGUCAUUUUGACGAAGGUACAAGCAUCUAUACAAAGUACUUCGUUAUCACUUCUAAUGAUAUAUUUCAAUGGUGAAAUUCCUUUAUGUUUUUACAUUUUUUUAAGGGUAAUAGGAUAUACUAUUUUUACAAGUAUCUAUUAACAAAAAAGUUCCGUACAAAAUUACCUCUCAAUGUGAAAAUAUUUGGUUUUGCUACAAGUACAGAAAAAAUUGACAGAAUUUUUACAAAGAAAUACUUGGUAAAUUUUCAUUGAUUUUUGACACAACAAACACAGAAAUUACACCAUACAAAUACUGUCAACACAACACCUAUAUCAUUUCUGUCAAUAAUUCCCCGUACCUAUGGAAUUAUUCUAAAAUUAAGGGUAACAUAGAGACUUAACGGCGAUAGACAAGAAUUAUGAGUUUAACAUAGAGAUAACAUUUUUUUUUUAAUACGAAAUUUGACGAUAACGACAUAGUUCUUCUACCUUCAUAAUCUUAAAAAAGCAGAAGCCAAAAUUACCUAAAAUAAUGAAAAGCAAAAAUUUAAGACUAAAAAUAAUUAUUUUACUAUUAAAGGUCAGAUUAAUCACAUCACUCGGGUAUGCCGACGAGAACCGGCCGCCAAGCUCUCCUAAGCAACCGGUGCCGGAACAUAGCUGAUAACGGCCGUCCGGAACGUGCCCCACCGACGCCCGCAGUUGGUAACAGCCCUUCUCUUAUAUUCUCCGAAACUUUCUCUUUGAACGUCGGAGGUGACGAAACAAACAAAUCCUUCAGUUUAUGUCUAACAACAAUUUCCUUCCCCCUUUCCGACGAUUUUCCGUCGCCCCGCGGCCGCCUGCCCGGAGAUCAACUUCACGGAGCGGCGGCAGCCUUCUUCCGCCGCGGCUGAGCAGCAUACGGAGAGUGCUUCUUCUCCGGCGGAGGUGGAUUACUGGGCUUGUAGUUGGACUCCUUGUUGGGCUUCCGGCAACUGCACACUGUGUAGCUAACAGCUUGAAUUUCUGUAGAGUCGUCAUGAUUUGUUCCUGUAAAUAGUUUAAUUUAAUGAAUUUUUUAUUUUUAUUUUUUUAUCAUCAAUUUUGCAGAUUAAAAUGAAUUGAGGAUUUGGAAUUUUCAAGGGGUGAAGGGGAAGAAGAUGAAAAGGAAAGUGUGGGCAUGGUCUUAUGAAAGGUGGCCAUUAGAUGGUCCUUGUUUGGUUCAUUGUAUAUUUAUAAAGAAUUUUCAUUUUUAUUAAUUGCUAAAAAUACACUCCUCCGUCCCAUAAAUAUAGUUAUAUUUCCUUUUUUCGUCUGUUCCCAAUUAUAGUCUUAUUUCUUAUUUGUGAGUGUAGUUAAUAUAUUAGUUUUCUAACAUGUUCCUAUUUAAUGUGUUUUGUUAUCACAAAUAUAAUUUAAUUACCUUGAAUAUUGAAUGUAUUAAUAUAGGGGUAUAUUAAGAAAAAUAAUAGUAAAAAUUUAUUAUUUCAACUAUAUUAAUUAAAAAUUUUUUAAUCUGUGUGAAAAAAGAAAUAUGACUAUCUUUAUGAGACGAAUAUAGUAAGUUAAUAGAAAUUAGUAAUAAGUAAGUAAAAUAUGGAACGUUAAUAAGUUAUUUUAGCAACUUAAAGAAAACGCAAACAUGUACAUAGUGUGUGUGUAUACGAGUGAGUGAAGUGCGCGAAGUAGAAAGUUAGUCUGCAAUUUUUCAAAAGGAUAAUUGGCAAAUUACAUCUUUACCUUUAACCAUUAUUGUGAAAAAGGUUUUCAUCUUUCAGUUUUUGACAUUUUCACCCUUAAUUACACCUUUAAUUACGCAAAACAUCAUUUUCAUCCAGUUUCUCAAUAAAAAGUUGUGAUAUAACGAAUACACCAUCAUAUUUAAAUAAAACAAAAAGAAGAGAAGAGAAAAAUAAAGAUCUAAUUGUAAUUAUAGUCCCAAAAUUUUUUAGAAAUUACAAACGAGUUCCAAAUAAAUUAUUAAAAAAUUAGAAAAAAAAUCUCUUUCUUUUCCUUAUUCCUCCUCCACCACCACCGUCGCCACCAUUUCUUUAUUUCUUGUUUAAGAGAAAGAUUAAUUUGAUAGUUGGGACAAAAUGGAUUUGAAUUGGAAUUAUCUAAGGGAACUAGCUAUCCUUUCCCAGUUUCCCCGUUUCUUUAUUUCUUGUUCAAGCAUCGUGACACUGAAAAAAAAAGUGCAUCUAGCAAGCUGAUUUUCAACUUAGCCAAAUAAGCUCAGCCGAUUCCAUUCAUUUCUUUUGAUGUCUAACUUCAUUUGACCUCAAAAAUCAGAAUAAUUUGCCAAAUAAACCACAAAUACACACACAUGCACAGAGAACGGAUUACCUUGUUCCAUGUUCAAUUUUGCUUUUGGAAUGCAAAGUGUGGAUGAAAUGCUCCUUGGAGAGCCAUUUUCCCCACAAAAAAAGAAAAAAGAAAAAAAAGUGUUUUUAAGUAAGAUUUUAAUAUUUUUAUGGAAAAUCUUUUUGAUUGUGUGUUAAGAAUCAGUGCUGGAAUGGGUGCAUUGAUGGAGAAGGAUAAGACAUUUAUAAAUUAAGGAUGAAUGUUGGUGUCCCACAUGAGUUAUCUAUCUCUAAUAAGAUUUAAAAUCAUGACAGAAAACAAAUUGGGCCUAUACAAAUUAGUGGUGGUGGUAGAGGAGGAGGAGGAGGAGGAGGAGGAAGAAGAGAAAGAAGAAGGAAAAGAAAGAAUUUUUUUUUUAAAUAAUUUAUUUGGGAUUCAUUUGCACUUUUUUUUAAAAAAAAAUUUGGAAGCAUGGUUACAAUUAGUUCCUUUUUUUCUUUUUGUUUUAUUUAAAUAAAAGAGUAUAUUUGUCAUUGCACUAUUUUUUAUUGAGAAGAUGAAAAUGAAAUUUUUGGUGUCCCCCCCCCCCCCCCCCCCCCCCCCCCAAAAAAAAAGAAAAGAAAAGAGAAAGUGUUUUUGAGUAAGAUUUUAAUGUUUUUAUGGAAAAUCUUUUUGAUUUGUGUUAAGAAUCAGUGCUGGAAUGGGAGUAUUGAUGGGGAAGGAUAAGAUGUAUAUAAAUUAAGGAUGAAUGUCGAUGUCCCACAGGAGUUAUCUAUCUCCAAUAAGAUUUAAAAUCGUAACCGCAAAAAAAUUGGGCCCAUACAAGUUAGUGGUAGUGGCGAUAGAGGAAGAAGAAGAUGAGAAAGAAGGAAAAGAAAGAGAAAUUUUUUAAUAAUUUAUUUGGAAUUCAUUUGCACUCUUUAAAAAAAAUUGGAAGUAUGGUUACAAUUAGUUCCUUUUUUUUUUUUUGCUUUAUUUAAAUAGGAGGAUAUAUUUGUCAUUCCACUAUUUUUUAUUAAGAAGUUGGAUGAAAAUGAUGUUUUUGGUGUGAUUAAUUUAAGGGUGAAAAUACCCAAAAAAAUAAAAUUGUAGAAACGUUAUGUUCUAAUUACCCUUUUCGAAAACUGUAAGCAACUCUUAGCUGUUCAUGUUAACUACACAAUUAGUCUUUAAUAAACAUGAACAAUUUAAAAGAUCUUCUAAAAGCAACUCUUCUCAAAAUGUCAUUUAAAAGGGUUGAGUUGGAAUCAAAUUCUAACUAUGAAUUCUUAUACAUUUCUAAAUGGUUUAGUUACAAAAGAACUAGGAGCGAAGACAUUUCUCCCCUUUCGUCUAACUAGAAGGUUUGAAUGAUUUUCGUUAUUGGAAAAUAAUAUACUUAGAACAUACUCAGUGUCAAAAGAUUAUGCUAUAAUUUGGUUUAAAGUUUGGUCCAUUUUUUCCUUUUACUUCAUAAAAUUGAUCUAUUUUUUAAAAUAAUAAUAAUAAUGAUAAAAGGUUUAGCUAGUUGUGUUGUACUUAUUAAAGAUCAAUGAUUAACUUGUUAUUUGAGCAAUAUAUGAAGGGCAACCGUGCAAUUUUUCUAAAGUGAGAAAAAUGUAGUUUACAUUAGGUGACUUUAUAACGGGGAAGAAGGACCGUUGUCUUAUUGUUUGUUUGGCUCUUUUGAGGCUUCUAAGCUGUAAUUCUUACACGUGGCGGGAAUUAAUAUCCUUUGGGACCCAUUUUGUUAUCUAGAGCGAACCAAUUUUGUCUUUUAUAGUGCUUGAUUAGUAGUUAUACUAAAGCCUAUUGUCCGGUCGGAUUGAAAUUAAAUUUUUAAAAAAUAUAUAUGAUUUAAAAAUUAUAUAUUCAAUAAAAUAUAUGAUUAAAAUUAAUUAUUAACUGUAAGUUAAAUUAAAAUUUUACUACCGAACAAGGACUAAGUGAUUAUAUGCAUGUAAGUUUUACCGAAUAUAAGUCACAUAUCGCUAACAAAUUAGGCACACAGGUUUAAUAUAUGAAAACCGUUAUUUUUAAAUAAAUUUAAGUGAGUUUUAUAUAUUUUUUUAAAAAACUAGUAGCAUAUUUUAUUAAGAUCGAAAAGGAAAUUGCGAAACCUUGAAGAGGGACCGAAUGCUACAUGAAUAUUAAGAUUGAUAUAAAACUUGACAUAAUGUCAUGUGGCAUUUUAUCAUCGGACAAUUUAAAAUACUUCAGUUUUUCUAUUCAAUCAUCUACUGUCACAUGUAAUUAUGUCAAAUUUCCUGUCAAAUCCUUCUGGCAAAGUAGCUUCAUCCAAGCGAGAAAAGGUCGAACUUACCCAUUCAAAAAAGGAAGUACAAGAAAGUUUUAAACUAAAACAAAAUUUAGCCUUUUUUUUUAUGGGGAUUAAAAUCAAUUUUUUUUUGUAAAUUUGUUGAAAAUUAAUGAAAUGCGUGGUUGAAAAAUUGUAAGACCUAUAAAAUACGUUAUUAAAAUUAAUUUUUGAAUUUGAUUUAGAUUAAAAUCUGAAAUUUAAUUAUUUAGUGAAUUUCUUUGUUAUUUAAUGCACCUUAAAUGCAGGUAUAUUCAUAUUGAGAAAAUAGCGAGUUCAUAUGUUUAGAUAAGAUUGAUUCUAUUCAAGAAAGACUAUCAAUUAAAUUUGACAAAUUCGAUUGGCAGCUCAAAUGAAAUAAUAUUGCCUUAAUUUAAUACACGAUUUUAAAUUAGAAAAACUAAGAUAAAAUCAUGAGUCCUAACAUCUUGUUAAUCAAUGUUUCUUCAUCGGUCAAAUUUGUGAUCGCUACUCCAAUUCUUUAAUUAAAUUUUAAUUUUUAGUAAAAAAUUAACAAAGUAAAUCAAAUAUUUUAAAAUUUUAAAAUAAAUAGUUAGGAAUAGUGUAAACUUUAAGCCCUUAUUUGAGCCUCAUUAUUUCCAUCAGAAUAUAUUCUUUAACGGUGAUUUGACUCAUUUCAACCAUACAUUCUUCAUUAAAAUAAUAUUACACACAAAUUUAAAACUUUUAUUUAUUUUUUUACUACACAUUUUUCGUCAAUACACUAUUCAAAAUAUAUUUUUUUGGUAAGAAUGAAACUCAAACGAGAGCUAAAUCGAAGGUCAACAACACAUUCUCUUGGGUUGACACUUGACUUGAAUUUAUUGUUUUACUAGUCAUAAUAUCUUGCAUUUAUAAUCAAAGUGAUAAUGUCGUUGCAGUAGUUGUGGUGGUUAUCUUGUCACCCCCAAUAUUAUUUCGGUGUACUAUUUUUUAAUUACACUAUUAUUUACGAACUUUGCUUAUUGUCACACUUGUAUUCUCGCUUAUGUGUCUCAUUAUUAUCUUCGAUAUUUCGUUAAUUAACAUACUUGGUCUUGAUGAUGGUUUCUAACUUUCUAUCCAAACUAGUCUAUGUCACGUGUGUUGCAUGAGUUUUAUAUUUAUUUUGUUGUUAUUAGCGUAGAAUUCGUUGAUUUUACAAAAAAAAAAAAUUAGCGUAGAAUUCGUUGAUUUGACCAAAAAAAAAAAAAAAAAUUUGAAGAUGUGAAAUGUUUGCUUGAUUUACAUUCUUUUGUAGACUGUAUAUUGUAUGUCAAUGAUAAUUCAUUUUUAUUUUCAUAAAUAAAUAUAAUCAAUGAUGUCGACUGUAUACUGUAUGUCUUCGAUAAUUUAUUUUUAUUUUUUAUCAAUAAUUAUAAUCAAUGAUGUAAUGAUCUUGCGAAAUUAGGUUGUAUAUGUUUAGGUGCAUAAGUGAAAAGUUAAUUAUUUAUUGAUUGGUAUUUUUUUAUUUAGAUUAAAGUAGAUGAAGAAUUGAUUUUUUUAUUUGAUAUUUAUUGCAAAUAAGUUGCAACUUGAAUUUAGCAAAAUGUUUGAACUACUGAAUAAUGAACCCUAAUGUUUAUGGUCUACAAAAAAGAUCACACUGAUGGAACUCUGACUUGUCUCUAAACUUUUAAAUUUCAGUUAUAUCUUUUCUAUUUAACUAAUAUGAAAUAAUUAUCUUUCCCUAUGUAUUAAAAAUUUAUCGCUGGAUUCAGUGUUAAUUUAUUUGUGCUAUUUCUAAUUCUAAUUCCAUCUUUCUUGCUUACUAAUAUUAAAAUAUAUUAUUUUAUACUGAUGUCAGGUAAUUUUUAAUUCUUUUGAAUUAAACAAUCUCCUCAACUCUUUCAUAUCUAAUAAAAUAGAUGUACCGCACCGUUUCUUCUGAAUUAACACACCUUCGUUGAGCCAUGACGUUCAUGGUCUUCUUCCGAAUUAUCACACCUUCGUUGUGCCAUGAGAUUUGUCUAGUGAGUAUUAUAAAAAUUUAUCUUAUAUAAACUUUCAUUAAACAACAAAAAACCUUUCCCACAAACAUAAAACCCAUUCUUUUCUCUCAAAUACUUACAUCUCUUCUACGCGCUUUAUUCAAUUUCAGUUUAUAUAAAUUAAGUAUUGUCAUGGAUAUCAUUCAACCACCAUAUUAGCAUUAUAUUUAAGGUUAAUUAGUCUGAUCAUAAUCCUUUUCCUUUUAACUCAAGUCAUAUCACAAAUGUGUUCAAUUAAGCUAAUAUAUGAAGAUCAAUCCUAAAUCAAUUGAGAAACAUUAAAAGAUGAAUUAUUCAUCAAAGUUAUAUAAUAAGUUGAUAAGAUAUUUCUUCAAUCGGUAUAAAAAUUGGAAGGAUAAUUUCAAUCAGAAAAGGACGACCCUCAUCUCUCAUUUCAUGAUAAUAUUCCUGUUGGAACUCCAUAUAUACUUGUGAGGGCGAAAAUUCAUUCAUUUCCAUGCACACAUAUAAAUUUAAAAGUAUACACACAUAUACAAAGUAACAAACUAAAAUAAAAAUAGAAGAGAAGAGAAGAGAAGAGAAGAGAACAAUACGAAAAUAUAAUUUAGUGGGAUUUAAUUUAUAGCAAUCCAAUAAUAGGAACUGAUGAUGGUUGGUGAAAAUAAUUUUAUCAAAAUAAGGAGAGUUCUCAUACUCUUCUGUGAAAAUUACACUACAUAAUAAAUAGCAUUAAAUCAACCCUAAACUGUUUACCUCCACAUUUAUUUUCAAUUUUAAUUAAAUAAUAUUUAUGUAUUCUUUUAUUUAAUUUUUGUAACUUUCUUUUGUUUAAUUUUUUUAUUAUAUAUUUUUUGUAAAUUGUUUUAAAUUUUCCUUUUUCUUCAUAUUAUAACUAAUUUUUUGUUCAAUUUAAAUUUUUUUUUAAUUCUUUUCGUUUUUUGAGAGAACGUAACUUGUUCAAUUUUAAUUAAAUAAUAUUUAUUUUUAAUUUUAAUUAUUUCAAUUUAAUUAAAAAACUUUAUAAUAACAUUUUUUUUUCUAUUUUUGACUGAAUUUUUUUUCUUUAAUUUGUUAAAUUAUUUAGUUUGGAUGAAGUGUAGUGUGUGAAAAUGAAAAAAAAAAUAUAUUACAGGGGAGGUGAUUGUUGCAAUGAAGUGGCGUGUAAAAAUGGAAAAAUGAUUGAAGACAACACGACGUCGUUUUUGCUCCCACGAUUAAAAAAAAAUUGUUACAAUGUGAUAAAAUGAAAGAAUUCACUGAUACUACUAUAGUAACUUCUCAUUCUCUUUUUUAUAUAGUAGGGAUAUUCUAUCAGCGUGCUUUCAAACAUAUCCAACUUCGUAUUUUUAUUUAUUUUCACUUAUUUUAAAAUAUGGAGGAAAAAUAUGUCUUUUAGCCCCUAUUUGAUCCCCACAACAUGAAAAUGAAAAUGAAAAUAGGGGGAAUAGUAUUUUUUAGAAAAAUGAGUGGUUGAAAAAGAAAGAAAUUUUUUUGAUAAAACCCUUGAUUGACAAUGUUGUAUUAAUUAAGAGACGAAAUCGUCACCCAAUUAACUCUGUCCCAGUUGAUUAAGGAUUGUUGUUUCCACAAGUACAACAUCCCUAGACAAAAUAUAUGAAAACACCAUUUUCAGCUGCAAAAAUGAAACAACAAUAGCUCAAGACACAACUCCAUUUCAUAUGUACAUUUCCUUCAAAAUACAAAUUAGUAGGUGGUUUUCAAAACUUUGUACCUAUCAACACAACAAAAGACAUCGUCACAAAAAGAUUAAGCAUAAGCAAAUCAAAGGCAUACUUCGAUUACAUGAAUUAAAAUUAGAGAAAUGCAAGCUGUUUGGUUUUACUCAAAAGUCAAAUGUAAGUCGAUGAAACUUACUUUUCUAGAAAGUACGAUUAUAACUUGCUUUUUAGAAGAAUGACUUCUAAGCAGAAUCAAAAAUGCUAUUUAUCGGUGAAUACUGAAAUAGGUGAAGGCGGGGAAAUGCUGCCGGUCAAAAGCGCUAUCUCAUCGUCGACAGAAAUGUCUACAACCUCGACCUUGUGAGUGUUCAACUUUUCAUUCUGAAUUGCUCGUAAAGUCUCUAGUACUUCUUCCAUUGAAG
Molecule: long non-coding RNA, 10404 nt
Filed under: Olea europaea (common olive)
Lineage: Eukaryota; Viridiplantae; Streptophyta; Magnoliopsida; Lamiales; Oleaceae
Description: long non-coding RNA (OEUR_LNC011755)
Source: RNAcentral